AUCAACAAAUCUGGAUACUAGUUAAUGUGAUGAGGACAGGUUUUAUUCGGUAAUACUAUUGCAACAGGAAACAGCUGCACUGUUUCCUGUUGAACUGAACUCAACUUCCCCAAAAGUAAAGCCGAUGACAUUUUAAAGUGGAGUGUGCUAAGGAAAAGAUACUGAGUGGUGUUAAGGAAGGUUAAUGUCACUAGACCCUCUGGAUUUGUUAAUUGGCCCUUAUCCAGAGGGGAGAGAAACUUCACCUCUCUAUAUGACAGAAGGAUAUGGUGAUAUAGUUGAAGUGAAGCAUCCAGCUAAGUUGGUCCUUAUGCUCCAUAUGAAAGAAAGAGCAAGAUUUAUCUCCCUGAAUGUUUGCAUUUCAAAGAAACAGCUCCCAAGUCCUUGAAGAAACAGUUCUGUGUGGUAGAUUUGCUUCUCAAAGGGCAGAGAAAGAAUUUAACGGUGCCAUGAACCCAGCAAUAAGUGAGGAAAAGGAAUCUUUCACCUCUGCAAAGGGAUACCAUGGAAUUUCUCAAACAGUGAAUAAAUUGGCUCCAGGAAGAAGUGUCGGCCUCCUAAACAGAAAUAGAGAAAUCGAGAACAAUAGCAAGGGGAGUACCUUGCAGUCAGUAAUAAGAAGCUGUCUUUACUAUCAAAUCAGGCCUCCAAUGGGAGUCUUUCCCUGUAGUGACUUUAACUGUCUCCCCAUAUUUAAUCACAAUCCUAUGAAAACAGUUAACUCUCUAAGUGGUCAAAGAAAUUUUUCAAUAAACAUAAACUUUAGUCUAA
Chlorocebus sabaeus (green monkey) is the source of this 771-nucleotide non-coding RNA. NCBI's taxonomy places the organism in Eukaryota, Metazoa, Chordata, Mammalia, Primates, Cercopithecidae. The record is from RefSeq and is a predicted model, not a curated record.